Long non-coding RNA from Triplophysa dalaica, 560 nucleotides. RefSeq lists it as uncharacterized. The record is from RefSeq and is a predicted model, not a curated record. Lineage: Eukaryota; Metazoa; Chordata; Actinopteri; Cypriniformes; Nemacheilidae. The transcript has 3 exons.
AAAGCGAUCCAUAGUUUUGGGAGUGUUUCUGUUUGCUGUCCUUCCUCUGGUCUAUUCUUACUGCUUUCAAAGUCCAUACAAAAAUCCAGGUACAAAAUUUUGCCAGGAUGAUACAGAUAAAUCUUGGCAUCCUGUGGGUUCCACUUGGUGAAAUAGUAAAUACAUAAACUGCAGUUGUUCCGCAAAGUCAAUGAGUUGCUGUUCUGCAUAAAAUGGGGACUCCUACUGGUUUUUCUGACGAGUAAACAGUGGAGUACGAUUACACAGAAUGCUCUUCUGAAGUCUUUGACAAAAAAAAAACAUGUUCUCAUGGUUCAGUCGGUAAAUGAUCAUCAAAUUAAGGAUAAAGAUGUCAGGACUCUGUCCUUCCUGUCACGAGUUUCCUAACUCGCUGGACAGAGUUGUGACAGUAGGGCUACCAUGUCUUUGGGUUUUAUUGUGUUAUGUGUGGAGACACGUGGCUUUUGUUGUCACUUUGCGUCGUGUGUUCUCCUGUCUUUCAGCCCCGCCCCCCUGUCUUUAACAUAUGUGAAUUAAACAUUAUAUACAUGAAACAGUGA